This 533-nucleotide long non-coding RNA is filed under the name Coffea arabica (coffee). RNAcentral's name for it is "long non-coding RNA (CARA_LNC008425)". Lineage: Eukaryota; Viridiplantae; Streptophyta; Magnoliopsida; Gentianales; Rubiaceae. The record is from RNAcentral.
ACAAAGUCGUCGAAUUCUUCAAGUUUAUUUACAAUUGCCGCGAAUGAACAUCCAGUCAUACGGAAAAUUUCUUCAAAAUAUGGAGGAUCAUGGGCCUUGAUGAAAGUACGGAUGAUUUCUUCCUCGGUCAUCGGAGGCUCCACCUUGGCAGCUAUUUUCCUCCAUCUCUUGGCAUAAGUCUUGUGAUCUUCGGAGGGUUUUCUUUUGGUUCCUUCCAAGGUGGUUCUAGUCGGUGCCAACUCACAAUUAUACUCAUAUUGCCUUACGAAAGCCUUGGACAAGUCAAUCCAGGUUCUUACGUCUUCAGGUUUCAGAUUUGAAUACCAAUCAAGUGCGUCCCCUUCCAGACUUUCGGGGAACAACCUUAGAGGCAAGUUUUCAUCGUCCACAGGCUUUCCCAAUUUGUUUGCAAAUAGUCGGAGGUGCGUCUUGGGAUUACCCGUCCCAUCGUACUUGUUAAACUUAGGAGUUUUGAACCCCUCAGGCAGUUGCACAUUCGGAAAGAGACACAGCUCAUCGUAAUCCAAAACUCC